CCUACGGGAGGCAGCAGUGAGGAAUAUUGGUCAAUGGACGCAAGUCUGAACCAGCCAUGCCGCGUGCAGGAAGACGGCUCUAUGAGUUGUAAACUGCUUUUGUACGAGGGUAAAUCCCGAUACGUGUAUCGGGUUGAAAGUAUCGUACGAAUAAGGAUCGGCUAACUCCGUGCCAGCAGCCGCGGUAAUACGGAGGAUUCAAGCGUUAUCCGGAUUUAUUGGGUUUAAAGGGUGCGUAGGCGGUCGGAUAAGUUAGGGGUGAAAUCCCGAGGCUCAAAUUCGGAAUUGCCGCUGAUACUGUUAGGCUAGAGAGUAGUUGCGGUAGGCGGAAUGUAUGGUGUAGCGGUGAAAUGCUUAGAGAUCAUACAGAACACCGAUUGCGAAGGCAGCAUACCAAGCUACGUCUGACGUUGAGGCACGAAAGCGUGGGGAGCAAACAGGAUUAGAUACCCUUGUAGUC
Molecule: ribosomal RNA, 460 nt
Filed under: uncultured bacterium
Lineage: Bacteria
Description: partial 16S ribosomal RNA
Rfam family: Bacterial small subunit ribosomal RNA
Source: RNAcentral